AGGAGUCAAUUUGAACCACGGAACAGGAGUACCAGCACUAUCACAACAAAAGAACUCCUGAAAAAUAUUCGGGUAUCGCCUAAGGAAAGUGGAGACUUUCAAAUCAUGAGGGAGUCCAAGCUGCCUAUGCUUUCUUUGGAGAUGGUAAAUAGGAAUACCAGAAGUGGAUUGUGAGGCAAUGAUAGAAACUAGUGUAGUUCCG
Molecule: unclassified non-coding RNA, 202 nt
Filed under: Hevea brasiliensis (rubber tree)
Lineage: Eukaryota; Viridiplantae; Streptophyta; Magnoliopsida; Malpighiales; Euphorbiaceae
Source: RNAcentral